UUACUCUCCACCUCCACAAGACACUUGUUUUCUUGAAAAGACGUUCUGUCUGGACCUAGAGAACAAGUGUCUUAUGGAUGUUGAGAGUAA
This 90-nucleotide microRNA precursor is filed under the name Picea abies (Norway spruce). RNAcentral describes it as "miR11466b stem-loop (pab-MIR11466b)". Lineage: Eukaryota; Viridiplantae; Streptophyta; Pinopsida; Pinales; Pinaceae. The record is from miRBase by way of RNAcentral.